UACGUAGGGUGCAAGCGUUUGUCCGGAAUUAUUGGGCGUAAAGAGCUCGUAGGCGGUUUGUCGCGUCUGCUGUGAAAACUCGGGGCUUAACCCCGGGCCUGCAGUGGGUACGGGCAGACUAGAGUGCGGUAGGGGAGACUGGAAUUCCUGGUGUAGCGGUGAAAUGCGCAGAUAUCAGGAGGAACACCGGUGGCGAAGGCGGGUCUCUGGGCCGUAACUGACGCUGAGGAGCGAAAAGCAUGGGGGAGCGAACAGG
This 256-nucleotide ribosomal RNA is filed under the name uncultured bacterium. Its description in RNAcentral is "partial 16S ribosomal RNA". It matches the Rfam family "Bacterial small subunit ribosomal RNA", at positions 524 to 776 of the family's 1533-position model. The record is from RNAcentral.